AGAGUUUGAUCAUGGCUCAGGACGAACGCUUGCGGCGUGCCUAAGAAAUGCAAGUCGAACGGUGUAGCAAUACAUAGUGGCGAACGGUCGCGUAACACGUAAGCAACCUGCCCGAAAGUGGGGGACAACAGCCCGAAAGGGCUGCUAAUACCGCAUGUGGUCUUGGUUUCGCCUGAUUCCAAGUCUAAAGCCUUGUGCGCUUUCGGAUGGGCUUGCGGCCUAUCAGGUCGUUGGUGGGGUAACGGCCUACCAAGCCUUUGACGGGUAGCUGGUCUGAGAGGAUGUCCAGCCGGAUUGGGACUGAGAUACGGCCCAGACUCCUACGGGGGGCAGCAAUUAGGAAUCUUGCACAAUGGGGGAAACCCUGAUGCAGCGACGCCGCGUGAAGGAUGAAGGAUUUCGGUCUGUAAACUUCUUUUAUCGGGGACGAAGAAUGUGACGGUACCCGAAGAAUAAGCCCCGGCUAACUACGUGCCAGCCGCCGCGGUAAUUC
This 493-nucleotide ribosomal RNA is filed under the name uncultured bacterium. RNAcentral's name for it is "bacterial SSU rRNA". It matches the Rfam family "Bacterial small subunit ribosomal RNA", at positions 8 to 526 of the family's 1533-position model. The record is from RNAcentral.